UACAGUAUAAUUCACAUUUGACAAAACCAAAUAUGCCUCAACAAGGAAAGUAAAGGAGAGGUCAAAUAAAGUAGAGAUUUUUAAAGACAAAUUAGCAUUUUCUAGGCAUUGCAACUAAGUCCAACCAAAGAAUCAUCUUUUACGGUUUUGCGAAAGGAACACAGCAUAACAGUGUGUUUGACUGUCCAUGGGAAACAGAACACUGCAUUAGCGUAAGCAAUUCUCUCCCAUCACAUAUUUUCUUCUUUUUG
Molecule: unclassified non-coding RNA, 251 nt
Filed under: Hevea brasiliensis (rubber tree)
Lineage: Eukaryota; Viridiplantae; Streptophyta; Magnoliopsida; Malpighiales; Euphorbiaceae
Source: RNAcentral